AAGCUUGGCACAUCUAACUAUUUUAUAAACCAACCCUGAUCUGUACUUCUCCACAACUUUGGCCCUGAGGUCAGGGCCAAAGUUGUGGAGAAGUACAGAUCAGGGUUGGGUUAUAAAAUAUUUGAAACUUUGAACAUCCCACAGAGCACCAUUAAAUCCAUUAUUUAAAAAAUGGAAAGAAUAUGGCACCACAACAAACCUGCCAAGAGAGGGCCGCCCACCAAAACUCACAGACCAGGCAGAAGGAGGGCAUUAAUCAGAGAGGCAACAAAGAGACCAAAGAUAACCCUGAAGGAGCUGCAAAGCUCCACAUCGGAGAUUGAAGUAUCUGUCCAUAGGACCACUUUAAGCCGUACACUCCACAGAGCUGGGCUUUAUGGAAGAGUGGCCAGAAAAAGCCAUUGCUUAAAGAAACAAACAAGCAAACACGUUGGUGUUCACCAAAAGGCACGUGGGAGACUCCCCAAACAUAUGGAAGAAUGUACUGUGGGAGACUCCCCAAACAUAUGGAAGAAGGUACUGUGGGAGACUCCCCAAACAUAUGGAAGAAGGUACUGUGGGAGACUCCCCAAACAUAUGGAAGAAGGUACUGUGGGAGACUCCCCAAACAUAUGGAAGAAGGUAC
Long non-coding RNA from Oncorhynchus tshawytscha (Chinook salmon), 625 nucleotides. The record is from Ensembl. NCBI's taxonomy places the organism in Eukaryota, Metazoa, Chordata, Actinopteri, Salmoniformes, Salmonidae.